Molecule: ribosomal RNA, 600 nt
Filed under: uncultured bacterium
Lineage: Bacteria
Description: bacterial SSU rRNA
Rfam family: Bacterial small subunit ribosomal RNA
Source: RNAcentral
GAACGCGAAAGUUUUCUUCGGGAAAUGAGUAGAGUGGCGCACGGGUGAGUAACGCGUAAGUUAUCUACCCUUCCAUCUGGAAUAACUCAUCGAAAGGUGUGCUAAUACCGGAUACGCUGGAAACAGGAAAGAUGGCCUCUGUAUAUGCUAUCGUGGAAGGAUGAGCUUGCGUACCAUUAGCUAGUUGGUGGGGUAAAGGCCUACCAAGGCGACGAUGGUUAGCGGGUCUGAGAGGAUGAUCCGCCACACUGGAACUGGAACACGGACCAGACUCCUACGGGAGGCAGCAGUGAGGAAUAUUGCGCAAUGGGGGAAACCCUGACGCAGCGACGCCGCGUGGAUGAUGAAGGCCUUCGGGUCGUAAAAUCCUGUCAGAAGGAAAGAAGUAUAUGGUGGUUAAUACCCAUCAUAUUUGACGGUACCUUCAAAGGAAGCACCGGCUAACUCCGUGCCAGCAGCCGCGGUAAUACGGAGGGUGCAAGCGUUGUUCGGAAUUACUGGGCGUAAAGCGCGCGUAGGCGGCUAUUUAAGUCAGAUGUGAAAGCCCAUGGCUCAACUAUGGACGUGCAUUUGAUACUGGAUGGCUUGAGUACUGGAGGG